UAAUACGUAGGUGACAAGCGUUAUCCGGAUUUAUUGGGCGUAAAGCGCACGCAGGCGGCGGAUUAAGUCUGACGUGAAAUCUCUCGGCUUAACCGGGAGCGGUCGUUGGAAACUAAUCGGCUUGAGGCGAUGAGAGGGGUGUGGAAUUCCCGGUGUAGUGGUGGAAUGCGUAGAUAUCGGGAGGAACAUCAGUGGCGAAAGCGGCACCCUGGCAUUAGCCUGACGCUCAGGUGCGAAAGCGUGGGGAGCGAACGGGAUUAGAUACCCCGGUAGUCCACGCUGUAAACGAUGAAUACUAGGUGUGGGUAGUCUCAAAAUUAUCCGUGCCGAAGCCAACGCGAUAAGUAUUCCGCCUGGGGAGUACGGCCGCAAGGCUA
This 377-nucleotide ribosomal RNA is filed under the name uncultured bacterium. Its description in RNAcentral is "bacterial SSU rRNA". It matches the Rfam family "Bacterial small subunit ribosomal RNA", at positions 521 to 896 of the family's 1533-position model. The record is from RNAcentral.